GAAUACUAUUUACUUGCUCAAACAUAAUUCUUUCGAAUGAAUGGAGGCUAGAAUGAGUUUAGUGCUUAAGUUAUAACUUGUGUCUCCUUUUAAGACAGAGCUUUUUGCUUGUAGUUGUCAUAAGGAUGUCCAAAGUGUGUAGUCCCAAGCUUAAAUUUGGUAUCUAGUAUAUAUAACUUCUGACUUAUAGUCUCUAUCUACUAUUUU
This 207-nucleotide long non-coding RNA is filed under the name Lathyrus oleraceus (garden pea). RNAcentral's name for it is "Pisum sativum (pea) long non-coding RNA (PSAT_LNC023424)". Lineage: Eukaryota; Viridiplantae; Streptophyta; Magnoliopsida; Fabales; Fabaceae. The record is from RNAcentral.